This 1371-nucleotide ribosomal RNA is filed under the name uncultured bacterium. RNAcentral describes it as "bacterial SSU rRNA". It matches the Rfam family "Bacterial small subunit ribosomal RNA", at positions 28 to 1381 of the family's 1533-position model. The record is from RNAcentral.
GAUGAACGCUGGCGGCGUGCCUAAUACAUGCAAGUCGAGCGAACGGACGAGAAGCUUGCUUCUCUGAUGUUAGCGGCGGACGGGUGAGUAACACGUGGAUAACCUACCUAUAAGACUGGGAUAACUUCGGGAAACCGGAGCUAAUACCGGAUAAUAUUUUGAACCGCAUGGUUCAAAAGUAAAAGACGGUCUUGCUGUCACUUAUAGAUGGAUCCGCGCUGCAUUAGCUAGUUGGUAAGGUAACGGCUUACCAAGGCAACGAUGCAUAGCCGACCUGAGAGGGUGAUCGGCCACACUGGAACUGAGACACGGUCCAGACUCCUACGGGAGGCAGCAGUAGGGAAUCUUCCGCAAUGGGCGAAAGCCUGACGGAGCAACGCCGCGUGAGUGAUGAAGGUCUUCGGAUCGUAAAACUCUGUUAUUAGGGAAGAAUAUAUGUGUAAGUAACUGUGCACAUCUUGACGGUACCUAAUCAGAAAGCCACGGCUAACUACGUGCCAGCAGCCGCGGUAAUACGUAGGUGGCAAGCGUUAUCCCGGAUUAUUGGGCGUAAAGCGCGCGUAGGCGGUUUUUUAGUCUGAUGUGAAAGCCCACGGCUCAACCGUGGAGGGUCAUUGGAAACUGGAAAACUUGAGUGCAGAAGAGGAAAGUGGAAUUCCAUGUGUAGCGGUGAAAUGCGCAGAGAUAUGGAGGAACACCAGUGGCGAAGGCGACUUUCUGGUCUGUAACUGACGCUGAUGUGCGAAAGCGUGGGGAUCAAACAGGAUUAGAUACCCUGGUAGUCCACGCCGUAAACGAUGAGUGCUAAGUGUUAGGGGGUUUCCGCCCCUUAGUGCUGCAGCUAACGCAUUAAGCACUCCGCCUGGGGAGUACGACCGCAAGGUUGAAACUCAAAGGAAUUGACGGGGACCCGCACAAGCGGUGGAGCAUGUGGUUUAAUUCGAAGCAACGCGAAGAACCUUACCAAAUCUUGACAUCCUUUGACAACUCUAGAGAUAGAGCCUUCCCCUUCGGGGGACAAAGUGACAGGUGGUGCAUGGUUGUCGUCAGCUCGUGUCGUGAGAUGUUGGGUUAAGUCCCGCAACGAGCGCAACCCUUAAGCUUAGUUGCCAUCAUUAAGUUGGGCACUCUAAGUUGACUGCCGGUGACAAACCGGAGGAAGGUGGGGAUGACGUCAAAUCAUCAUGCCCCUUAUGAUUUGGGCUACACACGUGCUACAAUGGACAAUACAAAGGGCAGCGAAACCGCGAGGUCAAGCAAAUCCCAUAAAGUUGUUCUCAGUUCGGAUUGUAGUCUGCAACUCGACUACAUGAAGCUGGAAUCGCUAGUAAUCGUAGAUCAGCAUGCUACGGUGAAUACGUUCCCGGGUCU